UGGUGCAUGGCCGUUCUUAGUUGGUGGAGCGAUCUGUCUUGGUUAAUUCCGAUAACGAACGAGACCCUGGCCUACUAACUAGACGGCGGAUUCUUUCCGUCCGCCUCGUCUUCUUAGAGGGACAGGCACGCGCUUAGCUGCACGAAAUGGGGCAAAAACAGGUCUGUGAUGCCCAAUGAUGUUCUGGGCUGCACACGCGCUACACUGACGGAGGCAGCGUGUGUUCCCUGUCCGAAAGGACCGGGUAACCCGCUCAAUCUCCCUCGUGCUAGGGAUUGAGGCUUGCAAUUGUUUCUCAUGAACGAGGAAUUCCCAGUAAGUGCGAGUCAUCACCUCGCGCUGAUUACGUUCCUGCCCUUUGUACACACCGCCCGUCGCUACUACCGAUUGAAUGAUUUAGUGAGGACUUCGGACUGGUGUCCGGGGCGGCUCUCGGGUCGGUCCGGUGCGCCGGAAAGUUGUCCGAACUGUAUCAUUUAGAGGAAGUAAAAGUCGUAACAAGGUUUCCGUAGGUGAACCUGCGGAAGGAUCAUUA
RNAcentral lists this ribosomal RNA (535 nucleotides) under Darwinula sp. QY-2003. RNAcentral's name for it is "SSU rRNA". It matches the Rfam family "Eukaryotic small subunit ribosomal RNA", at positions 1278 to 1831 of the family's 1831-position model. Lineage: Eukaryota; Metazoa; Arthropoda; Ostracoda; Podocopida; Darwinulidae. The record is from RNAcentral.